This 699-nucleotide long non-coding RNA is filed under the name Anser brachyrhynchus (Pink-footed goose). RNAcentral's name for it is "lncRNA (ENSABRG00000003544.1)". Lineage: Eukaryota; Metazoa; Chordata; Aves; Anseriformes; Anatidae. The record is from RNAcentral.
ACUGAUUUCAAAUAAUUUCUUGAGAUUUUCAAGAUCAUUUUGAAUCCUAAUCUUUUCUGCACAGUGAUUGUACCUCUUCAAGCUUACAGUUGUCUACAGAUUCAUCCACUGUAUGCUUCCUGCUUUAUAUGGCUGAUGAUGGUGUAAAGUAAUUGCAUUCAGGACAGCUGUUUGCGGGGCCACAGGAUGCAUGCUUCCUGUUUAAUGGUGAACUACUGUUCAAUUUCUCCAAGUUCAAUUUUUCACCUCGGAUCAACCUUAUUAGUAAUCUCUUCAAAGUUGGACCACUGCUUUACAGACCCCUGUGAGAUUUACAAAGGAUCCAGCACUACAAGAUCCCAAACACUUGCCUCUGCACCUUGGUCUGCUGAAAGAAACCUUACGACUGCAGAGCAUGUAAUCUGGAAGAGGCUGGUGGGCACGUAUUUUGUAUGUAUAAAGCAAGCUGCAGUGAAUAGGAAGUGGGGAUUUCAGGUCAGAAGAAAUACGUGACUUGAGAGAGGUAGUUUUUUGGGGGAGUGCCUUUCCAGGUUCCUCAGUGCUGCGAGAUCAGCAUGUCAAUGAAAAAUAGCGGUCCUUGCUCAUUGCACUUGUCCAUGUGUCUUGCAAGCUGAUGAGAGGGGAAUGCUGCACUGCAGCUUCUGGGAAACUACUUGAAGGGUAAUAGCCAUGUUAGAAUAAAAGCAGUAGCAGUUUUCA